This 494-nucleotide ribosomal RNA is filed under the name uncultured bacterium. RNAcentral's name for it is "bacterial SSU rRNA". It matches the Rfam family "Bacterial small subunit ribosomal RNA", at positions 28 to 511 of the family's 1533-position model. The record is from RNAcentral.
GAUGAACGCUAGCGGCAGGCUUAAUACAUGCAAGUCGUGGGGCAGCAGGUUUGUAGCAAUACAGAUGCUGGCGACCGGCAAACGGGUGCGGAACACGUACAGAACCUUCCUUUGAGCGGGGAAUAGCCCAGAGAAAUUUGGAUUAAUACCCCAUAGUAUAAUGAAGUGGCAUCACUUUAUUAUUAAAGAUUUAUCACUCGAAGAUGGCUGUGCGGCUGAUUAGGUAGUUGGCGGGGUAAAGGCCCACCAAGCCUGCGAUCAGUAACUGGUGUGAGAGCACGACCAGUCACACGGGCACUGAGACACGGGCCCGACUCCUACGGGAGGCAGCAGUAAGGAAUAUUGGUCAAUGGAGGCAACUCUGAACCAGCCAUGCCGCGUGGAGGAUGAAGGUCCUCUGGAUUGUAAAACUUCUUUUAUAUGGGACGAAAAAAAGGCUUUUCUAAGUCGUCUGACGGUACCAUAUGAAUAAGCACCGGCUAACUCCGUGCCAG